Long non-coding RNA from Sander lucioperca (pikeperch), 195 nucleotides. RefSeq lists it as uncharacterized. NCBI's taxonomy places the organism in Eukaryota, Metazoa, Chordata, Actinopteri, Perciformes, Percidae. The record is from RefSeq and is a predicted model, not a curated record. The transcript has 3 exons.
UAAACAUUUCAACAACUGUAGGAAGAAUACAUGUUAUUACCAUCUGGCUUACGUUUUAGCACCCCCUUGGCUCUUAAACAGAGAUACAAAAACUAUUUUACUCCUCCUUCCAUUCAAGCACUCAACUCAGCUAAGAGGAGGUGAUAGCCCUUGUUUACAUUGAUGACCCAUUUAUUUAUUUUAUUUAUCUUUAUU